RNAcentral lists this ribosomal RNA (1542 nucleotides) under Pseudomonas sp. RNAcentral's name for it is "bacterial SSU rRNA". It matches the Rfam family "Bacterial small subunit ribosomal RNA". The record is from RNAcentral. Lineage: Bacteria; Pseudomonadati; Pseudomonadota; Gammaproteobacteria; Pseudomonadales; Pseudomonadaceae.
GGAUGCCUAACAGCUACUAUGAUCGUCGAGCAGGUAUGAUCGUGAGCUUGCUCCUUGUAUUCAGCGGCGGACGGGUGAGUAAUGCCUAGGAAUCUGCCUGGUAGUGGGGGACAACGUUUCGAAAGGAACGCUAAUACCGCAUACGUCCUACGGGAGAAAGCAGGGGACCUUCGGGCCUUGCGCUAUCAGAUGAGCCUAGGUCGGAUUAGCUAGUUGGGGUGGGAUCUAUCAUGGCUACACACAACUGUGCGACAGAUCCGUAAAUGGUCUGAGAGGUAUGAUUCAAGUACACACUGGAACUGAGAACACGCUUCCAGACUCCUACGGGAGGCCAGCAGUGGGCAAAUAUUGAGACAAUGGCCGAAAGCCUCGAUCCCAGCCAUGCCGCGGGAUGUGAAGAACGUCUUUCGAAUAGUACAAGCACUUUUAAGUAGGGAGGAACGAGCAGUAAGCUAACUACCUUGCUGUUUUGACGUUACCGACAGAAUAAGCACCGGAUUAACUCUGUGCCAGCAGCCGCGGUAAUACAGAGGGUGCAAGCGUUAAUCAGUAAUUACUGGGCAUCAAAGCGCGCGUAAGGUGGUUUGUUAAGUUGGAUGUGAAAGCCCCGGGCUCAACCCUGUGGAACUGCAUCCAAAACUGGCAAGCUAGAGUACGGUAGAGGGGUGGUGGAAUUUUCCUGUGUAGCGGUGAAAUGCGUAGAUAUAGGAAGGAACACCAGUGGCGAAAGGCGACCACCUGGACUGAUUACUGACACUGAGGUGCGAAAACGUGUGGGAGCAAACACGAGUAGAUACCCUGGUAGUCCACGCCGUAAUACGAUGAUCAACUACGCCGUUGGAACUCCUUCGAGAUAUUUAGUGGCGCACCUAACUGCAUUAAGUUGACCGCCUGUGGGAGUACAGCCUGCAACGGUGUAAAACUCAAAUGAAUUGUACGGGGCGCCCGCACAAACAGCUGCAGCACGGUGGUGUUAAUUCGAAGUCAACGACGAAGAACAUUACCACGCCGUUGACAUGCAGACGAACUAUCCAGAAAUGGAUUGGUGCCUGUCGGCAACUCUGACUACAGACAUAGCAUGCAUGUAGUCAUGUCCUCAGCUCGUGCCGUCUGAGAUGAUUGGGUUAAGUCCCGUAACGAGCGAAAGCCCUCGUCCUUACUUACCAGCACGUCAUGGCUGGGUCAUCUCUAAGCAGACUGACGGUGAUCAAACCGGACGAACGUGAGGAUGACGUCAAGUCAUCAUGGCCUUUCUUACGGCCUGGGCUACACACGUGCCUACAAUGAUCGGUACAUGAUGUGCGUUAUAGCCAAGACCGCAAGCGAUGGAGCUAAUCUCACAAAACCGAUCGUAGUCCGGAUCGCAGUCUGCAACUCGACUGCGUGAAGUCGGAAUCGCUAGUAAUCGCGAAUCAGAAUGUCGCGGUGAAUACGUUCCCGGGCCUUGUACACACCGCCCGUCACACCAUGGGAGUGGGCUUCUCCAGAAGUUCCUUGUUCAACUAUUCUCGACGCACGGUCACUAGAUGGUGUUAACGUUCC